CCUACGGGUGGCAGCAGUGAGGAAUAUUGGUCAAUGGGCGUAAGCCUGAACCAGCCAAGUCGCGUAAGGGAUGAAGGUUCUAUGGAUCGUAAACCCCUUUUAUAAGGGAAUAAAGUGUGGGACGUGUCCUAUUUUGUAUGUACCUUAUGAAUAAGGAUCGGCUAACUCCGUGCCAGCAGCCGCGGUAAUACGGAGGAUCCGAGCGUUAUCAGGAUUUAUUGGGUUUAAAGGGUGCGUAGGCGGCCUUUUAAGUCAGCGGUGAAAGUCUGUGGCUCAACCAUAGAAUUGCCGUUGAAACUGGGGGGCUAGAGUAUAUUAGAGGCAGGCGGAAUGGGAGGUGUAGCGGUGAAAUGCUUAGAUAUCACGCAGAACCCCGAUGGCGAAGGCAGCCUGCCAAGCCAUGACUGACGCUGAUGCACGAAAGCGUGGGGAUCAAACAGGAUUAGAUACCCCGGUAGUC
This 460-nucleotide ribosomal RNA is filed under the name uncultured bacterium. RNAcentral describes it as "partial 16S ribosomal RNA". It matches the Rfam family "Bacterial small subunit ribosomal RNA", at positions 338 to 795 of the family's 1533-position model. The record is from RNAcentral.